Molecule: long non-coding RNA, 1715 nt
Organism: Leptidea sinapis
Lineage: Eukaryota; Metazoa; Arthropoda; Insecta; Lepidoptera; Pieridae
Exons: 3
Source: RefSeq, a predicted model, not a curated record
AGAUCGGGUGGCAGACGCACGCCGCUAACACUCUAACUCCGGUCGUCGCAAGAGCUUAGUGGUUGUAACUUUUGAAUUUCUUAAAUUCUCAGAAGACAUCAUGUUACGAAAUAUUCUCAUUCUUUUCGUUAUGUGCUCUUUGGCAGUCGCUAUUGUGCCUCGUCCUAGGAGGGCUGUAGAGUCAGAGGCCAGUUUUGUCGGCAGAAAACCUGCUGAAAUAGAAUGCAAACCUAGCACACCCUGUGGUUGGUCCCUAAUUCCGAAACGCAGUGAACCUGUAACCGAAAUUCCCAACAAUUAUUGUGUAUGCGGCAGCGGAAUGAAUUGUAAGCAAGCAGAAUUAUACUGGGACGGAACAUAUUACGUGAACCGUUGUCUUACAUAAAAAGUUUUCCAACGAAAUAAUUUAAUAAGGGUCUAUUGAGAGAUUUUUCGAGUUCAAACUACGAAUUCUGUGCCAAAAUGAACAUUUUUAAAAGCAUCAUUGAAAUCAAUUACAGAACUAGUUUGAACUCGAAACAUUUCUCGAUAUUAUCAUUAAUCAUUCUAUUUUUAUACAUGGUUUUCAGCAUUUUAUUUAAGUAUAUUGUGUAAAAAAUGCUGACUAUCAUCGGUUAUGGAUUUAAAGGAUACAAUUGCAUAUUGCAUUGGUUAAUGAGGACUUUGGGACCCAUUGACUGGUUAUCAAACUAUAAUUACUUAUGAUUGAAUGACGAUCUAUUUCAAAUUGAAAUAUUUGACAAAAUACAAAAAUACAUCAUUCAUGUGCUUAGUAAUACAUUUAAUUGUUAUGAAUAAUACUACUAUGAAGUUUUGUCAUCUGUUCGCGGGUGUACCAACAUUAGCGAAUUUUAAAUUCAGUUGAUAUACCUAGAGUACAUAAUAUUAUCAUAGAUCACAGAGGUUUUGUGUCUGAAAGUCCUUACGUAAUUCUAAGUAAUAUAAUGGUACUUAUUAGAUUGAGUAUAUUUCAAUCGACAUAAUCAUUUUAAGGUAUUCAUAUUUUAUACAAAGCACGUACUGUGAAACAUGCCAAACGAAAUUGCCUUACAUUGAAAAAAAUAUAUUCUAAAAUAAUGGCCAUAUCUUUAAUUUUAGAAACAAUAAUAUUGUGAUGAUGUGUUCUUUUUUAUAUUUGGCUUUAAAAUUUAAACGGUAAUCGCUUGAUAUUGAAAGCGUAUAAAAAUAUUUUUACAAUAUAUAUAAUUUUAUAACUCUGACGCAAUUAACCUAACUCAUAUAAAAAGUAAUAGGUUUAAUUUCAUUUUAGACGAUCAUGGCCCACGGAAAUAGUUAGAAUUAGCUUUUUCGCAAUAAAAUAACUAAGCAUGUACUUAGGCAAUUCAAAAAAAACUUCAUUUCAGCAAAUAAUGUUCUACAAUGAGUUUUUAUAUAAUAUUACUUGUAACUUAACUACGAAGUACCUAGGUACUUAAUUCGAUUUAUUUUUUCUGUUCUAAAUCAAUAAAUCCAAGCGUUCAACUAAGAGUUUACUCAAAUACUUGAUAAAAUUUGUUUUUUCGUUUUCUGGCAGGCAAAUUAUGUAUGUAAGAAUGGCAUAUUUCACGGUUAGUAUAUUGUUCCUAUUUUCAAUGUAAUCCUAAGUAAUAAGUUUUAUAAUUAUUAUUUUUGUACAUUAUUUUUCUCAUUGUAGAGUUAAAUAAUUAGUAUUCGUUCUGAUUACUUAUUCGAACUAUUAAACUUUGAUAUGAAAA